Molecule: ribosomal RNA, 1372 nt
Filed under: uncultured bacterium
Lineage: Bacteria
Description: bacterial SSU rRNA
Rfam family: Bacterial small subunit ribosomal RNA
Source: RNAcentral
GAUGAACGCUGGCGGCGUGCCUAAUACAUGCAAGUCGAGCGAACGGACGAGAAGCUUGCUUCUCUGAUGUUAGCGGCGGACGGGUGAGUAACACGUGGAUAACCUACCUAUAAGACUGGGAUAACUUCGGGAAACCGGAGCUAAUACCGGAUAAUAUUUUGAACCGCAUGGUUCAAAAGUGAAAGACGGUCUUGCUGUCACUUAUAGAUGGAUCCGCGCUGCAUUAGCUAGUUGGUAAGGUAACGGCUUACCAAGGCAACGAUGCAUAGCCGACCUGAGAGGGUGAUCGGCCACACUGGAACUGAGACACGGUCCAGACUCCUACGGGAGGCAGCAGUAGGGAAUCUUCCGCAAUGGGCGAAAGCCUGACGGAGCAACGCCGCGUGAGUGAUGAAGGUCUUCGGAUCGUAAAACUCUGUUAUUAGGGAAGAACAUAUGUGUGAGUAACUGUGCACAUCUUGACGGUACCUAAUCAGAAAGCCACGGCUAACUACGUGCCAGCAGCCGCGGUAAUACGUAGGUGGCAAGCGUUAUCCGGAAUUAUUGGGCGUAAAGCGCGCGUAGGCGGUUUUUUAAGUCUGAUGUGAAAGCCCACGGCCCAACCGUGGAGGGUCAUUGGAAACUGGAAAACUUGAGUGCAGAAGAGGAAAGUGGAAUUCCAUGUGUAGCGGUGAAAUGCGCAGAGAUAUGGAGGAACACCAGUGGCGAAGGCGACUUUCUGGUCUGUAACUGACGCUGAUGUGCGAAAGCGUGGGGAUCAAACAGGAUUAGAUACCCUGGUAGUCCACGCCGUAAACGAUGAGUGCUAAGUGUUAGGGGGUUUCCGCCCCUUAGUGCUGCAGCUAACGCAUUAAGCACUCCGCCUGGGGAGUACGACCGCAAGGUUGAAACUCAAAGGAAUUGACGGGGACCCGCACAAGCGGUGGAGCAUGUGGUUUAAUUCGAAGCAACGCGAAGAACCUUACCAAAUCUUGACAUCCUUUGACAACUCUAGAGAUAGAGCCUUCCCCUUCGGGGGACAAAGUGACAGGUGGUGCAUGGUUGUCGUCAGCUCGUGUCGUGAGAUGUUGGGUUAAGUCCCGCAACGAGCGCAACCCUUAAGCUUAGUUGCCAUCAUUAAGUUGGGCACUCUAAGUUGACUGCCGGUGACAAACCGGAGGAAGGUGGGGAUGACGUCAAAUCAUCAUGCCCCUUAUGAUUUGGGCUACACACGUGCUACAAUGGACAAUACAAAGGGCAGCGAAACCGCGAGGUCAAGCAAAUCCCAUAAAGUUGUUCUCAGUUCGGAUUGUAGUCUGCAACUCGACUACAUGAAGCUGGAAUCGCUAGUAAUCGUAGAUCAGCAUGCUACGGUGAAUACGUUCCCGGGUCU